UGCAAGUCGAGCGAAUGGAUUAAGAGCUUGCUCUUAUGAAGUUAGCGGCGGACGGGUGAGUAACACGUGGGUAACCUGCCCAUAAGACUGGGAUAACUCCGGGAAACCGGGGCUAAUACCGGRUAAUAUUUUGAACCGCAUGGUUCGAAAUUGAAAGGCGGCUUCGGCUGUCACUUAUGGAUGGACCCGCGUCGCAUUAGCUAGUUGGUGAGGUAACGGCUCACCAAGGCAACGAUGCGUAGCCGACCUGAGAGGGUGAUCGGCCACACUGGGACUGAGACACGGCCCAGACUCCUACGGGAGGCAGCAGUAGGGAAUCUUCCGCAAUGGACGAAAGUCUGACGGAGCAACGCCGCGUGAGUGAUGAAGGCUUUCGGGUCGUAAAACUCUGUUGUUAGGGAAGAACAAGUGCUAGUUGAAUAAGCUGGCACCUUGACGGUACCUAACCAGAAAGCCACGGCUAACUACGUGCCAGCAGCCGCGGUAAUACGUAGGUGGCAAGCGUUAUCCGGAAUUAUUGGGCGUAAAGCGCGCGCAGUGGUUUCUUAAGUCUGAUGUGAAAGCCCACGGCUCAACCGUGGAGGGUCAUUGGAAACUGGGAGACUUGAGUGCAGAAGAGAAAGUGGAAUUCCAUGUGUAGCGGUGAAUGCGUAGAGAUAUGGAGGAACACCAGUGGCGAAGGGACUUUCUGGUCUGUACUGACACUGAGGCGCGAAAGCGUGGGGGGAGCAACAGAUAGAUACCU
Molecule: ribosomal RNA, 745 nt
Filed under: Bacillus sp. NOB4
Lineage: Bacteria; Bacillati; Bacillota; Bacilli; Caryophanales; Bacillaceae
Description: bacterial SSU rRNA
Rfam family: Bacterial small subunit ribosomal RNA
Source: RNAcentral